GCCCUGGUAUUCCAAUCGGCAGAGAACGCGGAUUCAAAAUCCGUACAGUGUGGGUUCGAGUCCCACCCAGGGCA
This 74-nucleotide transfer RNA is filed under the name Nocardioidaceae bacterium. Its description in RNAcentral is "tRNA-Leu". It matches the Rfam family "tRNA". Rfam says of the family: Transfer RNA (tRNA) molecules are approximately 80 nucleotides in length. The record is from RNAcentral. Lineage: Bacteria; Bacillati; Actinomycetota; Actinomycetes; Propionibacteriales; Nocardioidaceae.